RNAcentral lists this ribosomal RNA (520 nucleotides) under uncultured Scutellospora. RNAcentral's name for it is "SSU rRNA". It matches the Rfam family "Eukaryotic small subunit ribosomal RNA", at positions 569 to 1100 of the family's 1831-position model. The record is from RNAcentral. Lineage: Eukaryota; Fungi; Glomeromycota; Glomeromycetes; Diversisporales; Gigasporaceae.
AGCAGCCGCGGUAAUUCCAGCUCCAAUAGCGUAUAUUAAAGUUGUUGCAGUUAAAAGCUCGUAGUUGAAUUUCGGGGUUCUACCGUUGGUCGGGCUUUGUCUGUACUGGCGUGUAGAAUUUCUACCUUCUGGGGAACUAUCAUGUUAUUAAUUUAGCGUGGUAGGAAACCAGAACCUUUACCUUGAAAAAUUAGAGUGUUCAAAGCAGGCUUAUGUCUGAAUACAUUAGCAUGGAAUAAUAAAAUAGGACGGUGGUCCUGUUUUGUUGGUUUCUGAAUCACCGUAAUGAUUAAUAGGGAUAGUUGGGGCAUUAGUAUUCAAUUGUCAGAGGUGAAAUUCUUGGAUUUAUUGAAGACUAACUACUGCGAAAGCAUUUGCCAAGGAUGUUUUCAUUAAUCAAGAACGAAAGUUAGGGAUCGAAGACGAUCAGAUACCGUCGUAGUCUUAACCAUAAACUAUGCCGACCAGGGAUCGGACGAUGUUAACUUUCUUGACUCGUUCGGCGCCUUACGGGAAACCA